This 465-nucleotide ribosomal RNA is filed under the name uncultured bacterium. RNAcentral describes it as "partial 16S ribosomal RNA". It matches the Rfam family "Bacterial small subunit ribosomal RNA", at positions 338 to 795 of the family's 1533-position model. The record is from RNAcentral.
CCUACGGGAGGCAGCAGUGGGGAAUUUUGCGCAAUGCUCGUAAGAGUGACGCAGCGACGCCGCGUGAAUGACGAAGGCCUUCGGGUCGUAAAGUUCUUUCGACAGGGAAGAAAAUGCCUAUAAGUAACUGUGUAUGUAUUGACGGUACCUGUAUAAGCAGCCCCGGCUAACUCCGUGCCAGCAGCCGCGGUAAUACGGAGGGGGCGAGCGUUGUUCGGAGGGACUGGGCGUAAAGAGCACGUAGGCGGUGGUGUAAGUCAUUAGUCAAAGACUAGAGCUCAACUUUAGUAAGGCUAGUGAUACUAUAAUACUAGAGUAUCAGAGAGGAUUGCAGAAUUCCUGGUGUAGCGGUGAAAUGCGUAGAUAUCAGGAGGAAUACCGUUAGCGAAGGCGGCAAUCUGGCUGGAAACUGACGCUGAGGUGCGAAAGCGUGGGUAGCAAACAGGAUUAGAUACCCCAGUAGUC